RNAcentral lists this ribosomal RNA (250 nucleotides) under uncultured bacterium. Its description in RNAcentral is "partial 16S ribosomal RNA". It matches the Rfam family "Bacterial small subunit ribosomal RNA", at positions 335 to 603 of the family's 1533-position model. The record is from RNAcentral.
ACUCCUACGGGAGGCAGCAGUGGGGAAUAUUGCACAAUGGGCGAAAGCCUGAUGCAGCAACGCCGCGUGCGGGAAGAAGGCCUAGGGUUGUAAACCGCUUUCAGCAGGGAAGAAAAUGACGGUACCUGCAGAAGAAGGUGCGGCCAACUACGUGCCAGCAGCCGCGGUGACACGUAGGCACCAAGCGUUGUCCGGAUUUAUUGGGCGUAAAGAGCUCGUAGGCGGUUCAGUAAGUCGGGUGUGAAAACUC